CGGGGCGUAGCGCAGCCUGGUAGCGCACUUCCUUGGGGUGGAAGUGGUCGCAAGUUCGAAUCUUGUCGCCCCGACCA
Molecule: transfer RNA, 77 nt
Filed under: Solimonas terrae
Lineage: Bacteria; Pseudomonadati; Pseudomonadota; Gammaproteobacteria; Nevskiales; Nevskiaceae
Also listed under: 3 other names
Description: tRNA-Pro
Rfam family: tRNA
About the family: Transfer RNA (tRNA) molecules are approximately 80 nucleotides in length. Their secondary structure includes four short double-helical elements and three loops (D, anti-codon, and T loops). Further hydrogen bonds mediate the characteristic L-shaped molecular structure. tRNAs have two regions of fundamental functional importance: the anti-codon, which is responsible for specific mRNA codon recognition, and the 3' end, to which the tRNAs corresponding amino acid is attached (by aminoacyl-tRNA synthetases). tRNAs cope with the degeneracy of the genetic code in two manners: having more than one tRNA (with a specific anti-codon) for a particular amino acid; and 'wobble' base-pairing, i.e. permitting non-standard base-pairing at the 3rd anti-codon position.
Source: RNAcentral